Molecule: long non-coding RNA, 795 nt
Filed under: Homo sapiens (human)
Lineage: Eukaryota; Metazoa; Chordata; Mammalia; Primates; Hominidae
Description: HSALNT0274820
Source: RNAcentral
CUCUGUGCGCCACUGCCGGUGAAGAGCUUUUCUAAAGAAAAAUACCCGAAUAUCUCUUUUGUUUAAAGUUAUUAAAAACGGCCAGGCAAGGUGGUUCAUGCCUGUAAUCCCAGCACUUUGGGAGGCCGAGGUGGGUGGAUCACCUGAGGCUAGGAGUUCGAGAUCAGCCUGGCCAGCAUGGCGAAAUCCCAUCUCUACUAAGUUAGCUGGGCGUGGUGGCGGGCUCCUGUAGUCCCAGCUACUGGGGAGGGAGGCUCAGGCAGGAGAAUCACUUGAACCCAGGAGGCAGAAGUUGCGGUGAGCAGAGAUCAUGCCACUGCACUCCAGCCUGGGCAACAGAGCGAGACUCCAUCUCUAAAUAAAUAAAUAAAUAAAGUUAUUAAAAAUGGUCAACAUUCUACUAACGCUCAAUCAUCGUGUAUACAACAUUAACUAUGUUUUAUUUUUGUUUAUUUUUUUUGAGAGGGCCUCUGUUGCCCAGGCUGGAGAGUGCAGAUCUUGGCUCACUGCAGCCUCAACUUCCUGGGCUCAAGCGAUCCUCCCACCUCAGCCUCCUGAGUAGCUGGGACUACAGGAGCAUCCCACCACACCUGCCUGGCUUUUUUUUUAUUUUUAGUAGAGACAGGGCCUCCCUAUGUUGCCCAGGCUGGCCUUGAACUCCUGAGCUCAAGCAAUUUUCCCACCUCCCAAGUUUGCCAAGGUGCCAGGAUAACAGGUGUGAGCCAAAGCACCCAGCCAAUAUUAACUACAAGUGGCAAGUUGUGGAAAACCUUUUCAUUUACUCCAGAAUAUCAG